This 693-nucleotide ribosomal RNA is filed under the name Vibrio renipiscarius. RNAcentral's name for it is "bacterial LSU rRNA". It matches the Rfam family "Bacterial large subunit ribosomal RNA", at positions 1 to 739 of the family's 2925-position model. The record is from RNAcentral. Lineage: Bacteria; Pseudomonadati; Pseudomonadota; Gammaproteobacteria; Vibrionales; Vibrionaceae.
GUUGUAUGGUUAAGUGACUAAGCGUACACGGUGGAUGCCUUGGCAGUCAGAGGCGAUGAAAGACGUAGUAACUUGCGAUAAGCCCAGAUUAGGUAGUAACAACCAUUUGAGUCUGGGAUUUCUGAAUGGGGAAACCCACGUGCAUAAGCACGUAUCAUUAACUGAAUACAUAGGUUAAUGAGGCGAACCGGGGGAACUGAAACAUCUAAGUACCCCGAGGAAGAGAAAUCAACCGAGAUUCCGAAAGUAGCGGCGAGCGAAAUUGGAUUAGCCCUUAAGCGUUUUAUGCGUCAGGUGAAACUUCUGGAAAGUUGUGCGACACAGGGUGAUAGCCCCGUAACCGGCAACGCAUAUUAGGUGAAAACGAGUAGGGCGGGACACGUGUUAUCCUGUCUGAAUAUGGGGGGACCAUCCUCCAAGGCUAAAUACUACUGACUGACCGAUAGUGAACCAGUACCGUGAGGGAAAGGCGAAAAGAACCCCUGUGAGGGGAGUGAAAUAGAACCUGAAACCGUGUACGUACAAGCAGUAGGAGCGGGCAUUGCGUCCCGUGACUGCGUACCUUUUGUAUAAUGGGUCAGCGACUUAAUUUUAGUAGCAAGGUUAACCGUUUAGGGGAGCCGUAGGGAAACCGAGUCUUAACUGGGCGUAUAGUUGCUAGAAUUAGWCCCGAAACCAGGUGAUCUAGCCAUG